Molecule: ribosomal RNA, 362 nt
Filed under: uncultured bacterium
Lineage: Bacteria
Description: bacterial SSU rRNA
Rfam family: Bacterial small subunit ribosomal RNA
Source: RNAcentral
GUAGUCCACGCCGUAAACGAUGGAUGCUAGCUGUUAGGAGUAUCGACCCUCCUAGUAGCGUAGCUAACGCGUUAAGCAUCCCGCCUGUGGAGUACGGUCGCAAGACUAAAACAUAAAGGAAUUGACGGGGACCCGCACAAGCGGUGGAGCGUGUUGUUUAAUUCGAUGGUAAGCGAAGAACCUUACCCAGGUUUGACAUCCUGCUAAUCACUCCGAAAGGAGAGAGUGCCUUCGGGCCGCAGAGACAGGUGUUGCAUGGCCGUCGUCAGCUCGUGUCGUGAGAUGUUUGGUUAAGUCCAUCAACGAGCGCAACCCUUAUAGUUAGUUGUAUUUCUCUAGCUAGACUGCCCUGGUAACAGGGA